Molecule: ribosomal RNA, 426 nt
Filed under: uncultured euryarchaeote
Lineage: Archaea; Methanobacteriati; Methanobacteriota
Description: bacterial SSU rRNA
Rfam family: Archaeal small subunit ribosomal RNA
Source: RNAcentral
CUUCGACGCGUACGGGUGUUGGGAGACAUAGCCCGGAGAUGGAUUCUGAGACACGAAUCCAGACCCUACGGGGUGCAGCAGGCGCGAAAACUUCACACUGCAGGAAACUGUGAUGAGGGAACUCCUAGUGCAUGCACUAUGUGUAUGUAGAACCUACUCUUAACAAGUAGAGGGAAAGGGCUGGGAAAGACCGGUGCCAGCCGCCGCGGUAAUACCGGCAGCUCAAGUGGUCGUCGCUUUUAUUGGGCCUAAAACGUCCGUAGCCUGUUUGGUAAAUCUGUGGGUAAAUCAACCUGCUCAACGGGUUGAAUUCUGCAGAGACUGCCAGACUAGGGACCGGGAGAGGUGUGGGGUACUCUAGGGGUAGGGGUAAAAUCCUGUCAUCCUUAGAGGACCACCAGUUGCGAAGGCGCCACACUGGAACGG